CAGUUUCCUGCUUCAACAGCGCUUGGACAGAACCG
Molecule: non-coding RNA, 35 nt
Organism: Callithrix jacchus (white-tufted-ear marmoset)
Lineage: Eukaryota; Metazoa; Chordata; Mammalia; Primates; Cebidae
Source: Rfam